AUAGACUUGCAGCGUAAGACUUAUGGUGGGACUGUUUGCAAUCGUGGGUGAGCCCUAGCAGGCCACUGCAAUCAGAGAAAAUGACAUCUUCCCCCAACCUGUGCCCUUCAGCCGGUUAGUGGUUCUUUCUUUUCUAUCUGGUUCUUAGGAGUAUAAGAAGCUGCCUUAUACUGCAUCAGACCAUUUGUUUAUCAAGCUCAAUAUUGUCUGUACUGACUGGCAGGUUUCAAGCACAGACCUUCCCAGCCUUACCUGAAGAUUCUGGAGGGGGAAUUUGUGGCAUUCUGCCUAUGAAGGUGAUGCUCUGCCACUGAGUUAUGGUCCUUUCUUGAAUGGCUAUGAUCAUUUUUGUAGCCAGCCCCUGGGGGGGGGGGGAAUGCCCUAAGUAUAAAUUUGCUUUCUUAACCCACAUGUCUAUGUUAUCCCUGAUUGGCUUGGAUCACCCUAUGAAAUAGAAAGAAGCCCAGGAAGGGGGUGAAAUAAAUAAGAGUACAGCAACAGAUGGGGGUGCAGGAGGGAAUGACAUAAAAAGCUGCAAAAAUUGGAAUAUCCACAGCAUCAAGGUUCCCCACUCCCAAAUAAUCCUGUCCUUCUCUAACUCUGCCCCACCCCUGGCCCAUCCAUUCCCAUCUUGCCAGCCAUUUUCUUUUUAAAUUGUUGUUGUUAUGAAGUUCUAUACUGGUCCUAUUUCAGGAAAAAGUGGGGCUGCCGGGUCACUAUUAAGCUGCUCAGUAUACAGUGGUACCUCUUGUUAAGAACUUAAUUCAUUCUGGAGGUCUGUUCUUAACCUGAAACUGUUCUUAACUAGAGGUACCACUUUAGCUAAUGGGGCCUCCUGCUGCCGCCGCGCCGCCAGAGCACGAUUUCUGUUCUCAUCCAGAAGCAAAGUUCUUAACCCGAGGUACUACUUCCAAGUCUGUAACUUGAAGCGUUUGUAGCCCGAAGCAUCUGUAACCCAAGGUACCACUGCAAAGCUUUUGCAACAACUCUUCUGAGAAUAGGAUAGUCCUGUAAGUCCAGCUGCUGCUGGAUAGCACUCCUGCUUACCGAGCUCCUAAUGAGUAUCUCCUACUUCAAGCCUGCUGGAUAACAUUGCAGUUGAUCCAGGAUGCCUUGCUGUGUGAAUCCUUUGAAUCUACUUGUAAAGAGGACACUGCUGGGGCAGCAUGCAAAACCCCCUCUUUCUCCAAAAGUCUGCUAUGAGGUUGAGUUGAGCUUGCUCUCAGCUAUCCAUGGUCCUGAAAAAUUGCUGCUACUUACAUGCCGCCACACACAGCCAAAAUACAGCUCCAUAGAGAGGGAGUGAUGUUGUUGCCAAGUAAUUUCUACUCAGAGUAGACCAGUUGAAAUGAAUAGACCUAAGGACGUCAUGUCUGUUAAUUUCAGUGAGUCUACUCUUGAGUAUAGCUAAAGUUGGAUACAACUCACAGAAGCAGCCAGAUUGCAACGUGUUCUUAAGGUCCUACUUGCAUCUCUCUCUCCCCCCCCCCCCCACACACACUUACUUUUGUGUGUUCCUUUCUGACUCGGGCAAAAAAUUGUUCAUUUAAAUGAAACACAGCAGAGAUGGAAGCUGUAGAAUGUCAAAGCCGUAUUCAGACCCUCACACCUCAAACUAAAAUGAGUAUGUGUGCAUGUAUUUCUAUAGCACUUCAGAAAUUUGCAAGAAUUCAGACUGCUGCACUUGGGAUAUUGACUUCUCUGUGCAAUGAGGUAAACUCUGCCUUGUCAUGGCUGACACAAGACACUGUUUUGGGGGAUGUCAAUACUUGACAUGGGGGGUAGGUGGGGGCUCGAUACUGGUAGGUGGGUAGGACAAAUGUCAAUUUGUAUUAAAAUCUUAGUGCUGAAGCUCAGUUGGUACAAAGUUUUAAUAUUUGCUUCCCCUUAUAGAACAAAGCUUCAAAUGAGGCAAUUGGCACUUCCUGACAGCACUGCCCUUCCCCCUUGGGGAGCUGACCAGCUAAAUGGAUGUUGUG
This is a non-coding RNA of Podarcis lilfordi (Lilford's wall lizard), 1979 nucleotides long. The record is from the annotation of a GenBank genome assembly. Lineage: Eukaryota; Metazoa; Chordata; Lepidosauria; Squamata; Lacertidae.